CAGCAGCGCCUUCUGGAGGCCUUUGGUCCUCCAGGGGUUUUGGACUUCAGCUCCCAGAAGCCUCAGCCACUAUGGCCAGAGCCGUGGGAUUCUGGGAGUUGAAGUCCAAAAUACCUCCAGGGCCACAGUUUAAGAAGCAGCGCCGUGGAUCACUAACUUCUUGGACCAAGGUUCAAGCCUCCCUUCAGUCAUGGAGCCCAGUGGGUGACCUUGUCCUUUAGCCUUACUUCCUUGAAAGGACUGUUAGAAAAAUGAAAAGGAGAUGGCAGUGCAGAAGACACAGGCAUGGAGUGGGAGUCCAUGGUUCUGCAGUUCCACAAAAGAAAAGAGCUUGAUAAAGCAGAAAACUACCUCUUCGGUCUGGAUUGGGGGUACUGCUGUCUAGGAUCCUUGACUGGACACCUACAUCAUUGUACUGCAAGCAUCUAUUAAGCCAUCCAUCCACUUACCCCGACAGACAGGAACACAUCGCCCAAGGCUGAAGAAACGAGAAUGCAGCUCCUUUGUGAAACAGAUGUCUGCAGCUGUGGGGGUCCUGGAACAGGAAAAAGAUCAAUAAACCAUGUUCAAAACAUG
Anolis carolinensis (green anole) is the source of this 576-nucleotide long non-coding RNA. RefSeq lists it as uncharacterized. NCBI's taxonomy places the organism in Eukaryota, Metazoa, Chordata, Lepidosauria, Squamata, Anolidae. The transcript is spliced from 2 exons. The record is from RefSeq and is a predicted model, not a curated record.